This is a non-coding RNA of Pelobates cultripes (western spadefoot toad), 206 nucleotides long. Lineage: Eukaryota; Metazoa; Chordata; Amphibia; Anura; Pelobatidae. The record is from the annotation of a GenBank genome assembly.
CCAAUUUCCUCAUUAUUAUGACAAACUGAGAAGUUCCUACAGGCAGAAUGCAAAUCCAAAUUAUCUCCCAAUUUAUCACUGGUUCAUUCUAUUUCCAAUGAGUUUCAGAGUAGUGUUCGAGAAGUUACAGUGUAUCUGGUAAUAGAUAAUCCAUGAUUAGUAAUAUCUGAUCAAUAAUGCUCGAGAUAUCAUUUGAUACAAUAAAG